UACGUAGGGUGCAAGCGUUAAUCGGAAUUACUGGGCGUAAAGGGCGCGUAGGCGGUUCGUUAAGUCCUGUGUGAAAUCCCCCGGCUCAACUGGGGAACUGCACAGGAAACUAGCGGGCUUGAGUUCGGGAGAGGGAAGCGGGAUUCCGGGUGUAGCGGUGAAAUGCGUAGAUAUCCGGAGGAACACCGGUGGCGAAGGCGGCUUCCUGGACCGACACUGACGCUGAGGCGCGAAAGCUAGGGGAGCAAACGGG
RNAcentral lists this ribosomal RNA (253 nucleotides) under uncultured bacterium. RNAcentral's name for it is "partial 16S ribosomal RNA". It matches the Rfam family "Bacterial small subunit ribosomal RNA", at positions 524 to 776 of the family's 1533-position model. The record is from RNAcentral.